AUUAAUGCUGUGCACAUAUUCUCUCUUGUAGAGACACUGGACUCUGCACUCAGGCACACCAAUCCCUUGAACUUCUAGAUAAGAUAGCCCAAGCAUAUGAAUAAAAGAAGAGGCAGAACAUGUAAAAAAAAAAAUGCUAUUAGAAGAAAAAUGUCGAUUUUUAACCACAAAUUAUAUAUUUUUAACUACAUUAAAGGAGUUUGUGCUGCAGUCGCAUAGUGAGGACCUUAAAACAGUUAUAUGAAAUGUCUACAUGAGGACAGAAAAACAGUGGAACAACAGCCUUUCCUGUUGAUAUACUGUUUCAUCAUGAAUCUGUUAAAAUGACUUAAACAACUUUUGCCCCUGUUAGAUCACCAGAUUGCAUCUCUUUUAUUAUCCAGGCACUCCUCUGACAGAUCAGAAAGGAAAGACAUUAAAGUAAUAUCCAUGGCAGAGAGGAUCCAAGGUACAUAAGAGUCAAAUAUAACAGAGUCUUGGUAAGAGAUAGGAGCUCCAGUAAACUUUAAGUUUUAUGUUUUAAAGUUAUCGUACAACAGUUUACUACCAGUAGCUUGUGUCACAUGUGAGUCAUUUUACAGUUGCCCUAAAGUUAAAGAGUUUAUCAUUCAGGGUCAUUUACCAUAAUUUAAUAUGUUCUGUAUUCAAUGAUUAAAAAAGUUUUAUUAUUUGUUACGCUAUUAAUUAUUUUUAAGCAUCAAAGUGCACUCUGCACCCUCUUCCUCUCUACCAAUCUUUAACACACCAUUCAAUCAGCCUUUUAUUGUGCUGUUGUUCACUCUGGCUCUGUGAAUACAGUCCACAGUCUGUUGCUUCCACCUAUUGCUUCAUAGCCCUGAGUUUCAUAUCUGCUCAUGCCAGUAAUUGUGCAGAGGUGUGUGUAUGUGUAUGUGAGAACGAUGAACGCAACAGUAAAUGUAGACUGGGCUCACGUGCUGAUACUUCCGUACAUCUUGCUGUAGCUCACGUCAUGCUGCGUUUACAGCUAAAACGCAGAAAGCAAAGGGAGUAUCUUUCCUCUCAGUUUGUCUUGACCAUUAUGGUUGACAGAUAGGGGAGUUUCUUUUACCAUAUAAACCCCAUAUAAAAAUCACACUGAGUUCAAGUUUUUCAAAUCACAGGUAAGACUCAGGAAAAGCACAUUUUGAAGUGGUGCACAGAGUUUCUUCUGCAGGCCAUGUGAGGCGUUAAAUACAUAUUUUGUGCAGGGGACAAAAGAGAUGUGCUUGAUGCUGGCCCUACCCUCUGUGUCACUCAGUGUGGAAUCAGGAUGUUGGACAGAGGGGCAGGGCGCUGGGCCUGUUAAAUAUUGACUGCAAAUGUAAUAAUUAACCUUCUACCAACCCCUGAUCUCUUAAACUGGCUGCUUUGCCUCGCUGCCAUAGCUUCGCCGUCAUUGCUGACAUUUACAUCAAAUCGGCCCUCUUUUAGUUCACUGUCAGUAUCGCCCUCUGUGUCUUCAUCUGUCUUGGUCUCGUUUUCUCCGUUUCUACUUUUCUGUAUUUCCCCUCUGCUGCUCUGGCCCGGCUCCCCGUGUCAUGACACCCUGCUGCUCUUCAAACCUUUGGCCUCGUCCUGUGAAAGCUACCGGGCCAUGUUGCAUCUAAAGUUUGCUAUCAGAGAUGAGCCUUCUGGUGCUUGCUGGAUGUAACAGCAACUCCAUGUGGAAGCUGUGUCUGUUCCAGUGGAGGUGCUGUUACGUGUAGAGAGCCACCGAACACAACAUGAAGCCUGAACUCUUUUGUUUUUUUUGUUUUUUUGGGGGGGGGGGUAUUUUACUUCAACUGACUUUUAACUCUUGCUGAGAGAUCACAAAACUCGCUGUUUAAUAAAACAUUUAGUCAUUUUUAUUUUGAAGUAGCUGAAGAGCGAUGGGGCACAAGGUGAUGACCUAUGAAUUGACAGCCAGUGAUUGUAACAUCUGCCUGUCAGUUCUGUAGGCCACUGCUGUGUUUGUCCUCCUGAACGUGUACAGAUACAAACCAGAAGAAGGUCUCAUGGAUGUGUCUACAGCUGGUGCAUCAAUGAGCCAACUGUGACUUUUGUGGCUUCUACAUUCCUUGUUUUUGAAGCAUCUUUUACAAUGAAUAAAGUCUGAAUGUGUCGGUUUGUGAA
Molecule: long non-coding RNA, 2115 nt
Organism: Siniperca chuatsi (mandarin fish)
Lineage: Eukaryota; Metazoa; Chordata; Actinopteri; Centrarchiformes; Sinipercidae
Exons: 2
Source: RefSeq, a predicted model, not a curated record